RNAcentral lists this ribosomal RNA (433 nucleotides) under uncultured bacterium. RNAcentral's name for it is "partial 16S ribosomal RNA". It matches the Rfam family "Bacterial small subunit ribosomal RNA", at positions 29 to 507 of the family's 1533-position model. The record is from RNAcentral.
AACGAACGCUGGCGGCAUGCCUAACACAUGCAAGUCGAACGAGACCUUCGGGUCUAGUGGCGCACGGGUGCGUAACGCGUGGGAACCUGCCCUUAGGUUCGGAAUAACUCCCCGAAAGGGGUGCUAAUACCGGAUAAUGUCUUCGGACCAAAGAUUUAUCGCCUUUGGAUGGGCCCGCGUUGGAUUAGCUAGUUGGUAGGGUAAUAGCCUACCAAGGCGACGGUCCAUAGCUGGGCUGAGAGGAUGAUCAGCCACACUGGGACUGAGACACGGCCCAGACUCCUACGGGAGGCAGCAGUGGGGAAUAUUGGACAAGGGGCGAAAGCCUGAUCCAGCAAUGCCGCGUGAGUGAUGAAGGCCUUAGGGUUGUAAAGCUCUUUUACCCGGGAUGAUAAUGACAGUACCGGGAGAAUAAGCUCCGGCUAACUCCGUG